CCUACGGGAGGCAGCAGUGGGGAAUAUUGCACAAUGGGCGAAAGCCUGAUGCAGCAACGCCGCGUGAGCGAGGAAGGUAUUCGGUACGUAAAGCUCUAUCCGCAAGGAAGAUAAUGACGGUACGUGAGGAAGAAGCCCCGUCUAACUACGUGCCAGCAGCCGCGGUAAUGCGUAGGGGGCUAGCGUUAUCCGGAGUUACUGGGCGUAAAGGGGGCGUAGGGGGUUGGUUAGGUCUGAGGUGAAAGGCUGCGGCUAAACCGGAGAACGCCGUUGAAAAUGGUGGACUCGAGUGCAGGAGAGGAAUGUGGAAUUCGUAGUGUAGCGGUGAAAUGCGUAGAUAUUAGGAGGAACACCAGUGGCGAAGGCGGCUUGCUGGACUGUAACUGACGCUGAGGCACGAAAGCGUGGGGAGCAAACAGGAUUAGAUACCCCUGUAGUC
This 439-nucleotide ribosomal RNA is filed under the name uncultured bacterium. RNAcentral describes it as "partial 16S ribosomal RNA". It matches the Rfam family "Bacterial small subunit ribosomal RNA", at positions 338 to 795 of the family's 1533-position model. The record is from RNAcentral.